Long non-coding RNA from Brassica napus (rape), 188 nucleotides. RefSeq lists it as uncharacterized. The record is from RefSeq and is a predicted model, not a curated record. Lineage: Eukaryota; Viridiplantae; Streptophyta; Magnoliopsida; Brassicales; Brassicaceae. The transcript has 3 exons.
AGCUUGGAUUCGCUGCUUCUGCAUGUUUUGCGGUGUACAAGGUUUAUAAAAACUACUAUCCCAAGUUCCUGAUAUGUAGGGAAGAACAUGAACGCAUGUUACAACGUCAUAAAGAACUGUGGGCGCAGUCGAAGUUGGAUGAACUCUCAAGAAAUGUUUGUUGCUGUGGACAACAACCAAAAUAAUAA